Molecule: RNase P RNA, 231 nt
Filed under: Rickettsiales bacterium TMED289
Lineage: Bacteria; Pseudomonadati; Pseudomonadota; Alphaproteobacteria; Rickettsiales
Description: partial RNase P RNA component class A
Rfam family: Bacterial RNase P class A
About the family: Ribonuclease P (RNase P) is a ubiquitous endoribonuclease, found in archaea, bacteria and eukarya as well as chloroplasts and mitochondria. Its best characterised activity is the generation of mature 5'-ends of tRNAs by cleaving the 5'-leader elements of precursor-tRNAs. Cellular RNase Ps are ribonucleoproteins.
Source: RNAcentral
AUCAAGGCAAGGGUGAAAAGGUGUGGUAAGAGCACACCGGCUAAGUUGGUAACAACUAGCGCAUGGAAAACCCCACUGAGAGCAAAACUGAGUAGAGAUGACAUUGUUUAAUAACUAAAAGCAGUCUUUGGCUAGUCAUCAGGGUUAGUUGCUUGAGCCUUAAAGCGAUUUAAGGCCUAGAUAAAUGAUAAGUUUAAAAGACAGAACCCGGCUUACAGUCUAUCUGGCAAA